Molecule: transfer RNA, 76 nt
Rfam family: tRNA
About the family: Transfer RNA (tRNA) molecules are approximately 80 nucleotides in length.
CGCUAAGAAGCUCAAAAGUGGAAUAGCAUUAGCCUUUUAAGCUAAAAGUUGGUGGCCCCCCAACCACCCUUAGCGA